GGGGGCGAUCUUGGUUUCGACGGGGGUUGCAAAGCAAAUACGGGCAUACCGAGCUUUCAGUUACUCGUAAAACACUGAUUUUAAAAUAGUCGCAAACGACGAAACUUUUGCUCUAGCUGCUUAAUGCUAGGCUGUUGCAGCAGUUGGUCAAUGGGCUGUGUGGGAUAACUCACUGCAACAUCAUUUUACAUUGACUGGUUUAUCAUCGGGUUGCUUGGUGAUAAAUAAGAUUUUAGGCAACUGGUUUUCCAACGGCCUGUCUGUCGGCAUGCGGAAAAUGAGAUAUUUAAAUUGACAAGACUAAGUAUGUAGAACGUUUUGUAGAGGACUUUCGGACGGGGGUUCAAUUCCCCCCGCCUCCACCA
Molecule: transfer-messenger RNA, 365 nt
Filed under: Neisseriaceae
Lineage: Bacteria; Pseudomonadati; Pseudomonadota; Betaproteobacteria; Neisseriales
Also listed under: 1 other name
Description: CAKARD01 sp916720425 Standard tmRNA
Rfam family: transfer-messenger RNA
About the family: Bacterial tmRNA, also known as 10Sa RNA or SsrA, is named for its dual tRNA and mRNA-like properties. Its role is to liberate the mRNA from a stalled ribosome. To accomplish this part of the tmRNA is used as a reading frame that ends in a translation stop signal.
Source: RNAcentral